This 253-nucleotide ribosomal RNA is filed under the name uncultured bacterium. Its description in RNAcentral is "partial 16S ribosomal RNA". It matches the Rfam family "Bacterial small subunit ribosomal RNA", at positions 524 to 776 of the family's 1533-position model. The record is from RNAcentral.
UACGGAGGGGGCAAGCGUUGUCCGGAUUUAUUGGGCGUAAAGGGUGCGUAGGUGGGCAAGUAAGUCAGUGGUGAAAUCUCCGGGCUUAACCCGGAAACUGCCAUUGAUACUAUUUGUCUUGAAUACUGUGGAGGUCAGCGGAAUAUGUCAUGUAGCGGUGAAAUGCUUAGAUAUGACAUAGAACACCAAUUGCGAAGGCAGCUGGCUACACAAAUAUUGACACUGAGGCACGAAAGCGUGGGGAUCAAACAGG